Molecule: ribosomal RNA, 274 nt
Filed under: uncultured bacterium
Lineage: Bacteria
Description: partial 16S ribosomal RNA
Rfam family: Bacterial small subunit ribosomal RNA
Source: RNAcentral
AUACAGGGGGUGCGAGCGUUAAUCGGAAUUACUGGGCGUAAAGAGUACGUAGGCGGUUGCUUAAGUCAGAUGUGAAAGCCCCGGGCUCAACCUGGGAACUGCAUUUGAAACUGAGUGACUAGGGUUUAAGAGAGGGGAGUAGAAUUCCGGGUGUAGCGGUGAAAUGCGUAGAGAUCCGGAGGCAUACCAGUGGCGAAGGCGGCUACCUGGCUUAAAACUGACGCUGAGGUACGAAAGCGUGGGUAGCAAACAGGAUUAGAUACCCGAGUAGUCC